Molecule: ribosomal RNA, 255 nt
Filed under: uncultured bacterium
Lineage: Bacteria
Description: partial 16S ribosomal RNA
Rfam family: Archaeal small subunit ribosomal RNA
Source: RNAcentral
UACCAGCACCCCGAGUGGUCGGGACGUUUUAUUGGGCCUAAAGCAUCCGUAGCCGGUUCUACAAGUCUUCCGUUAAAUCCACCUGCUUAACAGAUGGGCUGCGGAAGAUACUAUGGAGCUAGGAGGCGGGAGAGGCAAGCGGUACUCGAUGGGUAGGGGUAAAAUCCGUUGAUCCAUUGAAGACCACCAGUGGCGAAGGCGGCUUGCCAGAACGCGCUCGACGGUGAGGGAUGAAAGCUGGGGGGAGCAAACCGA